ACGAACGCUGGCGGCGUGCCUAAUACAUGCAAGUAGAACGCUGAAGGCGGAGCUUGCUCUUCUGGAUGAGUUGCGAACGGGUGAGUAACGCGUAGGUAACCUGCCUGGUAGCGGGGGAUAACUAUUGGAAACGAUAGCUAAUACCGCAUAACAGUAGAUGUUGCAUGACAUUUACUUAAAAGGUGCAAUUGCAUCACUACCAGAUGGACCUGCGUUGUAUUAGCUAGUUGGUGGGGUAACGGCUCACCAAGGCGACGAUACAUAGCCGACCUGAGAGGGUGAUCGGCCACACUGGGACUGAGACACGGCCCAGACUCCUACGGGAGGCAGCAGUAGGGAAUCUUCGGCAAUGGACGGAAGUCUGACCGAGCAACGCCGCGUGAGUGAAGAAGGUUUUCGGAUCGUAAAGCUCUGUUGUAAGAGAAGAACGAGUGUGAGAGUGGAAAGUUCACACUGUGACGGUAUCUUACCAGAAAGGGACGGCUAACUACGUG
Molecule: ribosomal RNA, 494 nt
Filed under: uncultured bacterium
Lineage: Bacteria
Description: partial 16S ribosomal RNA
Rfam family: Bacterial small subunit ribosomal RNA
Source: RNAcentral